Molecule: small nucleolar RNA, 136 nt
Organism: Cryptotermes secundus
Lineage: Eukaryota; Metazoa; Arthropoda; Insecta; Blattodea; Kalotermitidae
Source: RefSeq, a predicted model, not a curated record
UGUAGGCCUGAUCGAAGCUGUAUUUAACAUUCUCUUAGUUAAUACAGUCAAAACAUGGCCAAAAAUAAUUUUCAUCUAAUGGUCGCUGAUGUGGCUUACAGAUGCCUUACCAGCAUUACCCAAGUUGAAGACACUU